This 496-nucleotide ribosomal RNA is filed under the name uncultured bacterium. Its description in RNAcentral is "partial 16S ribosomal RNA". It matches the Rfam family "Bacterial small subunit ribosomal RNA", at positions 29 to 507 of the family's 1533-position model. The record is from RNAcentral.
AUGAACGCUGGCGGCGUGCCUCAUACAUGCAAGUCGAGCGAACGGACGAGAAGCUUGCUUUUCUGAUGUUAGCGGCGGACGGGUGAGUAACACGUGGAUAACCUACCUAUAAGACUGGGAUAACUUCGGGAAACCGGGGCUAAUACCGGAUAAUAUUUUGAACCGCAUGGUUCAAAAGUGAAAGACGGUCUUGCUGUCACUUAUAGAUGGAUCCGCGCUGCAUUAGCUAGUUGGUAAGGUAACGGCUUACCAAGGCAACGAUGCAUAGCCGACCUGAGAGGGUGAUCGGCCACACUGGAACUGAGACACGGUCCAGACUCCUACGGGAGGCAGCAGUAGGGAAUCUUCCGCAAUGGGCGAAAGCCUGACGGAGCAACGCCGCGUGAGUGAUGAAGGUCUUCGGAUCGUAAAACUCUGUUAUUAGGGAAGAACAUAUGUGUAAGUAACUGUGCACAUCUUGACGGUACCUAAUCAGAAAGCCACGGCUAACUACGUG